RNAcentral lists this ribosomal RNA (593 nucleotides) under uncultured bacterium. RNAcentral's name for it is "bacterial SSU rRNA". It matches the Rfam family "Bacterial small subunit ribosomal RNA", at positions 233 to 842 of the family's 1533-position model. The record is from RNAcentral.
GCGUCUGAUUAGCCAGUUGGCAGGGUAACGGCCUACCAAAGCGACGAUCAGUAGCCGGCCUGAGAGGGCGGACGGCCACACUGGGACUGAGACACGGCCCAGACUCCUACGGGAGGCAGCAGUGGGGGAUAUUGCACAAUGGGGGGAACCCUGAUGCAGCGACGCCGCGUGGGUGAAGAAGCGCCUCGGCGCGUAAAGCCCUGUCAGCAGGGAAGAAAAUGACGGUACCUGAAGAAGAAGCCCCGGCUAACUACGUGCCAGCAGCCGCGGUAAUACGUAGGGGGCAAGCGUUAUCCGGAUUUACUGGGUGUAAAGGGGGCGCAGACGGCGAUGCAAGCCAGGAGUGAAAGCCCGGGGCCCAACCCCGGGACUGCUCUUGGAACUGCGUGGCUGGAGUGCAGGAGGGGCAGGCGGAAUUCCUGGUGUAGCGGUGAAAUGCGUAGAUAUCAGGAGGAACACCGGUGGCGAAGGCGGCCUGCUGGACUGCAACUGACGUUGAGGCCCGAAAGCGUGGGGAGCAGACAGGAUUAGAUACCCUGGUAGUCCACGCCGUAAACGAUGAUUACUAGGUGUCGGGGAGCAGAGACUGCCCG